Molecule: unclassified non-coding RNA, 377 nt
Filed under: plant metagenome
Description: partial contains 5.8S ribosomal RNA, internal transcribed spacer 2, and large subunit ribosomal RNA
Rfam family: 5.8S ribosomal RNA (bases 1-105)
Source: RNAcentral
GAAAUGCGAUAAGUAAUGUGAAUUGCAGAAUUCAGUGAAUCAUCGAAUCUUUGAACGCACCUUGCGCUCCUUGGUAUUCCUUGGAGCAUGCCUGUUUGAGUAUCAUGAAAUCUUCAAAGUAAAUCUUUUGUUAACUCAAUUGGUUUCUACUUUGGUAUUGGAGGUCUUUGCAGCUUCACACCUGCUCCUCUUUGUUCAUUAGCUGGAUCUCAGUGUUAUGCUUGGUUCCACUCGGCGUGAUAAGUUAUCUAUCGCUGAGGACACUGUAAAAGGUGGCCAAGGUAAAUGCAGAUGAACCGCUUCUAAUAGUCCAUUGACUUGGACAAUACUUUUAUGAUCUGAUCUCAAAUCAGGUAGGACUACCCGCUGAACUGAGC